RNAcentral lists this ribosomal RNA (460 nucleotides) under uncultured bacterium. RNAcentral describes it as "partial 16S ribosomal RNA". It matches the Rfam family "Bacterial small subunit ribosomal RNA", at positions 338 to 795 of the family's 1533-position model. The record is from RNAcentral.
CCUACGGGUGGCAGCAGUGAGGAAUAUUGGUCAAUGGGCGGGAGCCUGAACCAGCCAAGUCGCGUGAGGGAAGACGGUCCUACGGAUUGUAAACCUCUUUUGCCGGGGAGCAACGGGGUCCUUGCGAGGGCCCGAUGAGAGUACCCGGAGAAAAAGCAUCGGCUAACUCCGUGCCAGCAGCCGCGGUAAUACGGAGGAUGCGAGCGUUAUCCGGAUUUAUUGGGUUAAAAGGGUGCGUAGGCGGACUGGAAAGUCAGCGGUAAAAUCGAGAGGCUCAACCUCUUUCCGCCGUUGAAACUGUCGGUCUUGAGUGGGCGAGAAGUAUGCGGAAUGCGUGGUGUAGCGGUGAAAUGCAUAGAUAUCACGCAGAACUCCGAUUGCGAAGGCAGCAUACCGGCGCCCGACUGACGCUGAGGCACGAAAGCGUGGGUAUCGAACAGGAUUAGAUACCCUGGUAGUC